RNAcentral lists this long non-coding RNA (290 nucleotides) under Pan troglodytes (chimpanzee). RNAcentral's name for it is "long non-coding RNA NONPTRT011149". The record is from RNAcentral. Lineage: Eukaryota; Metazoa; Chordata; Mammalia; Primates; Hominidae.
CAGCUGAUGCAGGUGCAAUGAGAAGAGAAGGAACAAAGGGUUUGGGAGUGAGGGCACUGGGAAAAACACAGAGGAUGACAUCUGAUAAUAAGAAAGUGUCUGUUUCCACUGGCCUGCUCCUGUAUCUCUGAAUCCUGCCUGCAGGGCACUCACUGUAGCUCCGUCCCACAGGAAAAGAAAGAAAGAAGAUGGGAAAAGAGGAAGACGAGGAGAAGGGGAGGACAGGAAUGAUGAUAGAAUGUAGAGGGACAGAUAGGUUAGAAUCUAUGUAUAUUUUAGGCACUCAUUAA